AGCUGCCUAUUUAUGGAUUUAAUAAUUUUUGAGACUUCUUGCUUCAGCAACCACCGUAGACUUAAUUCAUUAAUU
Long non-coding RNA from Papaver somniferum (opium poppy), 75 nucleotides. RefSeq lists it as uncharacterized. Lineage: Eukaryota; Viridiplantae; Streptophyta; Magnoliopsida; Ranunculales; Papaveraceae. The record is from RefSeq and is a predicted model, not a curated record. The transcript has 3 exons.